Molecule: ribosomal RNA, 784 nt
Filed under: Halomonas sp. NCu
Lineage: Bacteria; Pseudomonadati; Pseudomonadota; Gammaproteobacteria; Oceanospirillales; Halomonadaceae
Description: bacterial SSU rRNA
Rfam family: Bacterial small subunit ribosomal RNA
Source: RNAcentral
AGCCAUGCCGCGUGUGUGAAGAAGGCCCUCGGGUUGUAAAGCACUUUCAGCGAGGAAGAACGCCUAGUGGUUAAUACCCAUUAGGAAAGACAUCACUCGCAGAAGAAGCACCGGCUAACUCCGUGCCAGCAGCCGCGGUAAUACGGAGGGUGCAAGCGUUAAUCGGAAUUACUGGGCGUAAAGCGCGCGUAGGUGGCUUGAUAAGCCGGUUGUGAAAGCCCCGGGCUCAACCUGGGAACGGCAUCCGGAACUGUCAAGCUAGAGUGCAGGAGAGGAAGGUAGAAUUCCCGGUGUAGCGGUGAAAUGCGUAGAGAUCGGGAGGAAUACCAGUGGCGAAGGCGGCCUUCUGGACUGACACUGACACUGAGGUGCGAAAGCGUGGGUAGCAAACAGGAUUAGAUACCCUGGUAGUCCACGCCGUAAACGAUGUCGACCAGCCGUUGGGUGCCUAGCGCACUUUGUGGCGAAGUUAACGCGAUAAGUCGACCGCCUGGGGAGUACGGCCGCAAGGUUAAAACUCAAAUGAAUUGACGGGGGCCCGCACAAGCGGUGGAGCAUGUGGUUUAAUUCGAUGCAACGCGAAGAACCUUACCUACUCUUGACAUCCUGCGAACUUGUGAGAGAUCACUUGGUGCCUUCGGGAACGCAGAGACAGGUGCUGCAUGGCUGUCGUCAGCUCGUGUUGUGAAAUGUUGGGUUAAGUCCCGUAACGAGCGCAACCCUUGUCCUUAUUUGCCAGCGCGUAAUGGCGGGAACUCUAAGGAGACUGCCGGUGACAAACCGG